The sequence is a small nucleolar RNA, 148 nucleotides long. It matches the Rfam family "Small nucleolar RNA snR161".
AUAAAUAACAACAACCAGUAUCAUUGGCUGUCCCAAUUUCGCCAACAUUGGGACGGUCUCUCUAAGCUGGAAGAUUGGCUUGAACGACUUAAGUUCAGUCGGGCGAACCCAUUCCGUUUCACCUGGCAUUACUGUUGUUCACACACAC